GGCUAACUACGUGCCAGCAGCCGCGGUAAUACGUAGGGGCAAGCGUUAUCCGGAAUCACUGGGCGUAAAGGGUGCGUAGGCGGCUUAGCAAGCCAGGGGUGAAAGGCAUUGGCUCAACCAAUAGUAAGCCUUUGGAACUGUUAAGCUUGAGUGCAGGAGAGGUAAGUGGAAUUCCUAGUGUAGAGGUGAAAUUCGUAGAUAUUAGGAGGAACACCAGUGGCGAAGGCGACUUACUGGACUGUAACUGACGCUGAUGCACGAAAGCGUGGGUAGCGAACAGGAUUAGAUACCCUGGUAG
Molecule: ribosomal RNA, 298 nt
Filed under: uncultured bacterium
Lineage: Bacteria
Description: partial 16S ribosomal RNA
Rfam family: Bacterial small subunit ribosomal RNA
Source: RNAcentral